Molecule: transfer-messenger RNA, 357 nt
Filed under: Paracoccaceae bacterium
Lineage: Bacteria; Pseudomonadati; Pseudomonadota; Alphaproteobacteria; Rhodobacterales; Paracoccaceae
Description: Rhodobacteraceae bacterium transfer-messenger RNA
Rfam family: Alphaproteobacteria transfer-messenger RNA
About the family: Bacterial tmRNA, also known as 10Sa RNA or SsrA, is named for its dual tRNA and mRNA-like properties. Its role is to liberate the mRNA from a stalled ribosome.
Source: RNAcentral
CGCAUUGACUUUUUCACCGCCAGGCGACAAACGUGGCGCAGUUCCUAACGGAAAUAUGGCGAUAAAGGCGCACGGAAUAAACGGAUCGGACCCGGGGGCGGUACCCGGCGGCUCCACCAGAGGCUAUUCAUCAUUGGGGAAUAGAUUGGGGCCGAAACAGGAUUGACGAACGCGUAAAGGUGUAAGCUUUCGCUCGGUGUGGCACCGCCGUUAUCGGUCCAGACUGCACAAUUGCCAAUGACAAUCGUGCUCCGCUAAGGCUAGCUGCGUAAGCGGCCCGCUGACGCGGAACUCCAGCCCGGUGCCCUAGCACGCACCGGCGGGGUCGGCAGGCGCCCGGCAACAGAAGCCUGCAUU